AGGAGAGUAAUCCACAGAGACUCCGUGCCACAAAAUGAUUGACAAAACGUUACAAAAUCUGGCCAGAUAAUUUCAAGUCAAAGUGGAGUCAAGUCUCAAGUUAUUUUCUUUUCUAUCAAGUCGAGUCUCAAAUCAUCAGAUUUGUGACUUCAGUCAGAUUCCAGUCCAUGUCAUGUGACUCGAGUCCACAUCUGAUUAUUACAUGUCCAUUUACCACUAUGAAUAUUCUGAUGUGAAUCAAAAAUAUGCAUUCUCAGAGUUCUGUCACAUUACCAAGUGAUUCGUACAUUUGUAGAAAGACAUUCGCAAGUCAAAUGAUUUGAGCAGACCUGGAGGACCUUUUUUACUCCUGGCCAAUCAGCUAAAACCACAGCCGCCUAUUGCUCCAACCAUUGGCUGGAUUGUUCCAUCAGUCAAAUCUCAGGAAUUAGCUUGAAGAGGAAAAGAGAAGUCAUUUCUACAAAGUAACAACGUUACUUAAUCCUCGGCCUGAAGUACUAGAAUAAAAGUCUACUUGAAGGUUUCUCGUCUGAUUUCCAGGAGCCUGGUGGAGAUACAGUAGAUACAACCAUACUCCGAGUCCUGCAGGCCAUUUCCCUGCAUCCAGGUUGAGACCUACCAGCAGGAACAUGGAGCACUCCAUGUCAGUGCUACAGAGAGAAUAUUCCAAGGACCACCAAAGCCUUCUGGCCAACAACCUGCAAUCUCUCCAGAGUAGAGAAGUGAGUCUGCUGGGCCAUGGAACUCUAGAGCAGCACAUGUAAAAACCUGCCACCCUGUUGUCAGCCAGCAGCAGACAGUUAGUUCCCUGAGGAAGGAUGCAACUGUGAAGGCUUUUCCAUGGCCAAAUGUAGGGGGGAGGGGGUUGAUCCCCAAAUGCAAUAAAGUUUUGUCUACUCAUGUCUUUAAAAAAACUUUUAAAAACAAUGUUGUUUAAUCCAUAUAAUUCUAUUUGUAAAAUGCUGCGAUAUGCCUGGCUGGGCCUCUCUUGCUUGCAGCGCACACUGCCCAAAUUGCGGGCCCUUCCGACUGUAGGCUGCGAUUUUAAAACUUUUUUUUUUAAAGAAGCAAUUGAUCCUCUGUGGUUAAAUCAUCCUUUCUUGUGUAGUAGCCUAUUUUUAAUGAUUAUGUAUUUCUGUAUAGACAGGAGUAAACUAAUUAGGCUAUAUAAUUCAAUUUACUUCAGGGAAAGCUUAGCUUUCCCUAGCAAUAUGGACAUGCCCCCUGUUCCUUUUUAAUGUGGCAUGAACACAACCAGUCAUGAUG
Molecule: long non-coding RNA, 1266 nt
Organism: Oncorhynchus kisutch (coho salmon)
Lineage: Eukaryota; Metazoa; Chordata; Actinopteri; Salmoniformes; Salmonidae
Exons: 4
Source: RefSeq, a predicted model, not a curated record